This 77-nucleotide transfer RNA is filed under the name Hepatoplasma crinochetorum (SeqCode). RNAcentral's name for it is "Candidatus Hepatoplasma crinochetorum tRNA-Trp". It matches the Rfam family "tRNA". Rfam says of the family: Transfer RNA (tRNA) molecules are approximately 80 nucleotides in length. Their secondary structure includes four short double-helical elements and three loops (D, anti-codon, and T loops). Further hydrogen bonds mediate the characteristic L-shaped molecular structure. tRNAs have two regions of fundamental functional importance: the anti-codon, which is responsible for specific mRNA codon recognition, and the 3' end, to which the tRNAs corresponding amino acid is attached (by aminoacyl-tRNA synthetases). tRNAs cope with the degeneracy of the genetic code in two manners: having more than one tRNA (with a specific anti-codon) for a particular amino acid; and 'wobble' base-pairing, i.e. permitting non-standard base-pairing at the 3rd anti-codon position. Lineage: Bacteria; Bacillati; Mycoplasmatota; Mollicutes; Mycoplasmatales; Hepatoplasmataceae (SeqCode). The record is from RNAcentral. RNAcentral also lists the same sequence under 1 other name.
AAGGGUGUAGCUCAACUAGGCAGAGCAUCUGACUCCAGAUCAGACGGUUGUGGGUUCGAUUCCUAUCACCCUUGCCA